Molecule: ribosomal RNA, 1464 nt
Filed under: Lactiplantibacillus plantarum
Lineage: Bacteria; Bacillati; Bacillota; Bacilli; Lactobacillales; Lactobacillaceae
Description: Lactobacillus plantarum 16S ribosomal RNA
Rfam family: Bacterial small subunit ribosomal RNA
Source: RNAcentral
GCGGCGUGCCUAAUACAUGCAAGUCGAACGAACUCUGGUAUUGAUUGGUGCUUGCAUCAUGAUUUACAUUUGAGUGAGUGGCGAACUGGUGAGUAACACGUGGGAAACCUGCCCAGAAGCGGGGGAUAACACCUGGAAACAGAUGCUAAUACCGCAUAACAACUUGGACCGCAUGGUCCGAGUUUGAAAGAUGGCUUCGGCUAUCACUUUUGGAUGGUCCCGCGGCGUAUUAGCUAGAUGGUGGGGUAACGGCUCACCAUGGCAAUGAUACGUAGCCGACCUGAGAGGGUAAUCGGCCACAUUGGGACUGAGACACGGCCCAAACUCCUACGGGAGGCAGCAGUAGGGAAUCUUCCACAAUGGACGAAAGUCUGAUGGAGCAACGCCGCGUGAGUGAAGAAGGGUUUCGGCUCGUAAAACUCUGUUGUUAAAGAAGAACAUAUCUGAGAGUAACUGUUCAGGUAUUGACGGUAUUUAACCAGAAAGCCACGGCUAACUACGUGCCAGCAGCCGCGGUAAUACGUAGGUGGCAAGCGUUGUCCGGAUUUAUUGGGCGUAAAGCGAGCGCAGGCGGUUUUUUAAGUCUGAUGUGAAAGCCUUCGGCUCAACCGAAGAAGUGCAUCGGAAACUGGGAAACUUGAGUGCAGAAGAGGACAGUGGAACUCCAUGUGUAGCGGUGAAAUGCGUAGAUAUAUGGAAGAACACCAGUGGCGAAGGCGGCUGUCUGGUCUGUAACUGACGCUGAGGCUCGAAAGUAUGGGUAGCAAACAGGAUUAGAUACCCUGGUAGUCCAUACCGUAAACGAUGAAUGCUAAGUGUUGGAGGGUUUCCGCCCUUCAGUGCUGCAGCUAACGCAUUAAGCAUUCCGCCUGGGGAGUACGGCCGCAAGGCUGAAACUCAAAGGAAUUGACGGGGGCCCGCACAAGCGGUGGAGCAUGUGGUUUAAUUCGAAGCUACGCGAAGAACCUUACCAGGUCUUGACAUACUAUGCAAAUCUAAGAGAUUAGACGUUCCCUUCGGGGACAUGGAUACAGGUGGUGCAUGGUUGUCGUCAGCUCGUGUCGUGAGAUGUUGGGUUAAGUCCCGCAACGAGCGCAACCCUUAUUAUCAGUUGCCAGCAUUAAGUUGGGCACUCUGGUGAGACUGCCGGUGACAAACCGGAGGAAGGUGGGGAUGACGUCAAAUCAUCAUGCCCCUUAUGACCUGGGCUACACACGUGCUACAAUGGAUGGUACAACGAGUUGCGAACUCGCGAGAGUAAGCUAAUCUCUUAAAGCCAUUCUCAGUUCGGAUUGUAGGCUGCAACUCGCCUACAUGAAGUCGGAAUCGCUAGUAAUCGCGGAUCAGCAUGCCGCGGUGAAUACGUUCCCGGGCCUUGUACACACCGCCCGUCACACCAUGAGAGUUUGUAACACCCAAAGUCGGUGGGGUAACCUUUUAGGAACCAGCCGCCUAAGGUGGGAC